This 6374-nucleotide long non-coding RNA is filed under the name Sus scrofa (pig). RNAcentral describes it as "lncRNA (ENSSSCG00050053510.1)". Lineage: Eukaryota; Metazoa; Chordata; Mammalia; Artiodactyla; Suidae. The record is from RNAcentral.
GUUUUGGAGCGCAUAGCCUCUCCCGCUCUUGCCUUCGGAGAGAUGGCUUUCCCUUCUAACCUGCCCAAGUGUGAGAGGGACCAAGCACUCAGCCAUCAAUUCCCCAAGGAGGUCUGAGCCCUGAUUUGAGCCUGAUGCCUAUUUCGAAUCCAGCAGCCAGAGUGUAGGUGGCUGCAGUGAACUGAGGCGACCUGCUGAAGUCAGGAUGCUUCUUAAGGACCAGGGGGACUUGCUCGCCAGGCUCAUGGCUGCACAAGGAUGUAAAAGGAAUUCCUGUCGUGACCAAACGCCACUGCCCAUUACAGUGAGGUCCUCUGAGAGGACCUCCAUUGGCCUGCCCAUCAAUUAUGCAUUUCCCCAGCACACCUUCCAGGCCAGCUUCUCGUGUCAGGAUUGUUCCCUGACUGCUCCCCUCUGAGCAAGUGUCUCCACUCUGCUCCUGGGGAAGAGAUAAGAGAUGAGGCACUACCAGCUGAUAGCCUCCAGGGAGCCCAGUGCCAAAGCCUAAGUGGAACAAGGGAAGGGAUGAGUGGGUCCAGAAGCUUCUCUCUUGAACAGGAAUAAGGAGCAUGGGCCAUCCUCUGUUAAACCAGUGGCUCUGGGGAUCUUUCUUGCUUUGAACACAUGUUGUCACUGAACUGUGUGCUUACAAAGGACCCUGGGAUGCAGACGGGUGAGCAAGCUGCCCUUCUGAUAGAUGAGGCAUCUGCCACUUGAAGAGGCACAGGCAGUGUGUAGCUUUGCCUGGCAGGUUCUGGUCGGGCUUGAAAUAGUCCCUAAUCUGGUGGGCAAAUAAUUCUCGUAUCUCUUCUUUUACCAAGGAGGAUGCUCACCCCAACCCUGCGUAUUCGUUACCCGCACUCAGGACAGGAGUCCUGGCCACCGCUUGGAUCUGGUUCUUGGGCUAAGGAGCUUCUGCUCUGAGCUGGCAGCAGACACCCAAUAAGGUCUCAGUGACAGGGCCCUGCUAAGGGAUAAGGAAGAUACGUGAGGACCCAGGGAAGAGCAGCCUGCUGACUACAAGUUCCUCAAGGGCAAGGACCACGUCUGAUGAAUGUCCCACUGCAGCCCAUCCCACAGCACAGCUGUAUCGUGAUAAAAGCAGAACGAGAGAAUAAAUGAAGGAAUGCAAGGCAGACCCCAAGGAAAGCCAAUGGAGAGGUAAAACCAAGCAGCCCCUGGAGGCCUGAGGAGAGGGUGCUAUCUCCAUCUGGGGGAUCUAGGAUGACUUCCUGGAGGAGGUGGCAUUGGAACUUUGGGGAUUCUCUGGCUGUGAAUUCAGAGGGUUCUCCUGCCUCAUUUAGACAUUCAAAGACGACUUACUAAUUAACAACUGGAGAAAGAAUUCUGCAUGCAGACUGUUUGUACCUUAGCCGAGUGUCCCCAAACUUGGGAAACACAGUAGCACUUUAUGUAGGUUUCCAGUUGAGCCUGGAAUCAGCGUGAAUUGUUGGGAGGGGUUUGGGGAGUGGGGUAGACAGGCACAGGCUCUGCAGAGCCUGGCACCACACCCCUCUCUCUUCCCUUCAGAGCACAUCUUUCCAGAGACCAUCACAUUUGAUCUUGCCGAUUAUUUGGUCAACCUCUUUUCUCUGGGCAGCGCUGAUGGGGAACAACAUAUGCUUGGCCUUCUGCCUUCCUCUCCUAUACACACCCCUACACACACCCACAUCACACCCAUUUAUCUCCAUGACAACAAGGGGAGAGAGCGUGGCCUGAUGCUUCCAGGCCUCAAUACGCGGACUUAGAGCCUAGAGACUUAGCAGUUCUGGCCCUGCAGCCUCACAAAGAAGGACUAGAGUGAUUGCAGAGGCCAGGCAUGGAGAAGGGAGGGCUUUGGGGUUGCUUGUGCCCUCAGAGAGGAGGGGUCAUUGCCCUGGGAGCCCUACUGCUGGCCGUUUCCUGAUGAAGAGGUUGGUCAUUUUGCCCCCAAACACCCUCAUCCCUUGUCAGGGAUAAGCAGCGUUUGGGGGAAGGAGGGCCGGCUUUGUAUCCAAUCCCAGCUCUACCAUUUCCCUCUUCUUGUGAGUUCUCUGAACCUCUGGAUCUGCAUCUAUAAAAGGACAACUCCUUGAAAGGACUUCUGUGACUUCUAGAAAUUGGCAUUAAAAAAAAAAUCUAUCAACGCCUCUGUUUUAGAAACUAACCAAAUGAGAUUGGUCAAAAUCAGAGAUAGGGUGUGAGGGGUGGAAAACGUGCAAACCGGCAAAAUAGGGAAACAACUAGUCAGUCUAAUUAAGAAAAAGAGUAGAGACAAAACAAUACCAAAAUUAGGAGUGGGAAAGGGAAUAUGGCCAUUGGUAUUACACAGAGGAUGUUAUAAAACUAAUAUGAGGAUAUAUGAACCAACUCUGUAAAAUAUGUUGAAGACAAGAUCAAAUGCAUAUUUUUCUAUGAAAACAUAUACUUAACUUUAAAAAUGGCAGUUUCAGACUUCCCUUGUGGCUCACAACAUAACUGCAUAGUGUUGCUUCUACAGUGGCUGUGGCUUAACUCUUGGCUCGGGUAUUUCAUAUGCCACAGGUGUGGCCACUUGUUUAAAAAAUAAAAUAAAAAAAUUUUAAAUGACAAGUUCAUCAGAGCAAAACCCUGGGAGAAAGUGGAAGAAAAAGUCAAUGAAUUACAUCUCCAACUAAUUUGCAUCCGUGUAGGAAAACAGGCUAAAAUAGUUUCACAGACUGCUUCUUUUUUUUUCUCUUCAAAAUUUCAAGGAGUUAAUCAUUACCAAGCUAUACAAAGUAUUCCAGAAUGUUUUUUUAAUAAAUCAAUACCUAAUUCAUUUUACAAGUUAGAAUAUUGCUAAUAAUCAUGUUUGACAACGAUAAUAUCCAAAAAAUAAAUCUACAAGAUAUCACCAGUGGAUUUACAUGUAAAGAUUCUAACUAAAGUAUGCAUAUAUAUCAAAUUUCUGAAGUGUAUUAAAAGGAUAACAUACUAUGAUUAAGUAGGGUAUAAUCUGGGUAUGGUAGGUUUAAAAAUCAAUCAACAUAAUUUAUCAAGUUAAAAAUAGUAAAGUAUUGAGUUCCCAUUGUGUCUCAGUGGGUUAAGAACCUGACAUAGUCUCUGAAGAUGUGGGUUCAAUUCCUGGCUUUGCUCAGUGGGUAAAGGAUCCGGCAUGCCGCAAGCUGCAGCGUAAGAUUGCAGAUGAGGCUUGGAUGUGAUGUUGCUGUGGCUGUGGUAUAGGCCAGCAGCUGCAGCUCCGAUUCAAUGCCUAGCCUAGGAACUUCCAUAUGCUGUAGGUGUGGCCAUGAAAAGAAUAAUAAAAUAAAAAAUAAAACAAACCUUGAUUGCACUUUUACUAUCCUAUUAAAAUACAUCUAUAUAAAAAUCCUGAAAAUAAAAAUUUCUAAACUGGAUUUCAUCAAAACAAAACAAAAAACCAUAAAAUAGUAAAAUCUUUUAAAAAACACCAUCAAGAGGAGUUCCUGUCAUGGCUCAAUGGUAACAAACUUGACUAAUAUCUAUGAGGAUUCAGGUUUGAUCCCUGGCCUCUCUCGGUGGGUUAAGGAUAUGGUGUUGCUGUGAGUUGAGGUAUAGGUUGCAUAUUCGGCUAGGAUCUGGUAUCGCUGAGGCUGUGGCAUAGGCCAGCAGCUGCAGCUCUGAUUAUACCCCUAGCCUGGAAACAUCCAUAAGCCACAGGUGUGGCCCAAUAAGUAAAAAUAAAUAAAUAAAUAAAUAACAUCAUUGAGAAAAUAAAGAGAUGAAUCACAGACGGAGAAAAAAUAUUUGAAAGUCCUACAUCUGAUAAGGAUGUGUAUGCAGAAUAUAUAUAUAUGCUUAAAAACUACUACAACUCAAUAGGAAGGUAAACAAUGCAAUUACAAAAUAGUAAAAUAUUUGAACAGACCUCUUACCAAAGAAGAUACACGAAUGGCCAAUAGGCACAUGAAAACAAGCUCAUCCUUUCUUAUAAUAUUAAGGAAAUGAAGAUUAAAAUCAAAGUGUUAUAUCACUACAUAUCUACUAGAAUGGCUCUAAUUAAAAAGACUGGCAAUACCACAUGUUGAAAAGAAUGGAGAAACGAGAAGCUUCUUAGAUCAUUGUCAGAAUAUAAAAUGGUACCGCCGCUUUGGAAAACAGCUGGACCGCUUCCUAAUCAGACCACACAGACCAACAAUUCUACUCCUGGAUGUCUACCUAAGUGAAAUGAAAACAAAGAGCCACUCAAAGACUUGCAUAAGGCAGUUCAUAGCAACAUGACCUACAAUAGCUCAAAACUGGAGACCGCUAGAAUGUCCAUCAGCUAGUGACUGGAUGAACAAACUGGUGUGUUCGGACCGGAGGAACAUUCUUAAGGAUAAAAAAAGAAUGAACAUCUGACACAGGUGACAACAUGGCGAACCUCAGACGUGUUACGUUAAGUGAAAGACGGCAGACAGCAGAUAGAAGACUCUACGUUGCAGGAUGCCAUUUAUAUGAAAUUUCUAGAAAAGAGGCAGAAAGAGAGAGAAAGCAGAUCAGUGUUCACCUGGGGCUGGGGGUGAGAGCAGAGGCUGCCUAGAAACAGAUGCCGUUGAGGAGGUGAUGGAAGUCUUCUAAAGCCUGAUUGUGGUGAUACCUUCCCAGCUGUAAACAUUUCCUAAAACUCAUCAAUCUAUACACUUAAAAUGAGUGACUUUCAUGGCAUGCAAAUUAUAUUCCAAAAAAAAGCUGUUUUUCAAUGUUUCUGAAAGGACAGGUAACAAACUGGUAAGUUGUUACCUCUGAGGGACAAAAUCAAAGGCCACAUGUUUGUUUUGUUCUUGGGUGGCUUCUACGUUUUCCUCUCCAUCAGUGGGUAUUACCUUCGUAAUAUCAAAAAUUCCCUCCAGAAAAUACAGUUCCCCAAAUAGCUCUUCACACGGAGUGGGUGCCUGAGAAAUAGAAGGUUCCCUUUUGUUCAAAAAUCCGUCUUCUUAGGGCCAUGUACUGUCCAGCCCUCACUCUGAGCCAUCCUUCCUGUUCCAGGACAGGGUCAGGGCCCAUCCACCCUUCUGUUGGACCCUCCCAUUCUGCUCCCCAGUGACUUAAGAUAUACACAGGACAUCCCUCUUUAGGGAGAUUUUCCACUGUGGGUGGGUCGUGCCCAACCUAAGCUGGAAUCUGAUUCCGCAUGCUUCCUGCUUUAUCAGGAAUCGUUACAGCAACAGUCAGUCACAAUUUGGGUGGCAUGUUGCAAUAGAUAAAGCAUUUUCCUUUUUUCUAAAGUUAUCUUUACACAAGUGUGGCAAGGCCACGAAGACACAGCGGCUCAGCCAUGCACAGUGCCCGCUCAAGCAAGUGGCAAGACGGCCUGACUCCAGAGCCUGCACUUCGGGAUUCGCACGACCUCUGGUUCUGGUCCUCCAUCCCAACCCAAGAGGCUGGCGAUGUUUGCUCCCAGUUUGCAGCUGCACAGACUGCACUCUACCUGCCGUAUCCAAGAGCCUCUAUUUGCUGUGACAUUAUAGUUGCUUCGGGGAAAAUAGCAGCGUUGUUAUGACUCCGGCUGGGGAAGGAGCCGUGGGAGCCAGGAGUCACUGGGAGGAAAGCCGUGUGGAGCAGAGUAAAAGAGGUCCAGAAAUCUGCAGAGGAAUUCCCUUGGGUCUUCAGGAGUACAGGGCCUUGCUGAGCAUCAAACUCCACAACAUCAGGUAACCAACGAAUGGGGGGAUAGUUCCCAGUAUUUACCCAGGGCGGGGAGAUCACAGGAAUGAAGAGUCCUCAGCAGUCACAUUGGUAUUUGGUGGGACCCCAGAGGGGUCACAUCCAGUAUAUUCAGCUGAACUAUCCCUAGAGUGAAGGCUAUGCCAGAUCUGAUCCAGCAACUCUCAGAAAUAGGCUGAAUGUGAUCAAAUAACCCAUAAGUAGCUUAACUGCUUUUCAGAACAAAAGUCCAACUACUUUUAAAAGAAGACGACAAAAUCCAGACACUUCAACAACAUAACAUUCACUGUAUCCAUCAUCCACUAAAAAUCACCAGACUACCAAGAAACAGGAAGAGAAGCAGACUGUAUGGAAGGAGAGCCUGUCCAUACAAAGGGAUGAGAAAUAGUGGAGAUGAGGGAACUGGCCGAGAAGGAUGUUAAACGAUUAUCGUAGUCAGACAUUUCAGGGAAAGUAGGAACAACGAGAGAAUUGGGAAAUAGAAAGAAGAGCAAAUGGAACAUCUAGAGAUUAAAAAAAUACAGUAUCCAAAAUGAAUGUUCCACCGGAUGAGACUGACAAUCUGUUAGAUACUGUAGGGAAAGAGAUCAGCGAACUUGAAAACUUGGCAAAUGAAUUUAUGCACAAUGAAGCACAGAUACUGAAAAAGAGCAAAACCUCAAUGAGCUAUGGGCUAAUAUCAAACAGCCAAACAGAAGCAUGAAAGGGAGGGAGGCAAAACAAUAUAUGGCAAAAAAAAAAAAAAAAAA